This 88-nucleotide transfer RNA is filed under the name Phycisphaerales bacterium. RNAcentral describes it as "tRNA-Ser". It matches the Rfam family "tRNA". Rfam says of the family: Transfer RNA (tRNA) molecules are approximately 80 nucleotides in length. Lineage: Bacteria; Pseudomonadati; Planctomycetota; Phycisphaerae; Phycisphaerales. The record is from RNAcentral.
GGAGAGGUGGCCGAGCGGCUGAAGGCGCCGGUCUCGAAAACCGGUUGGGGUCUUGUACUCCACGAGGGUUCGAAUCCCUCCCUCUCCG